RNAcentral lists this ribosomal RNA (434 nucleotides) under uncultured Lachnospiraceae bacterium. RNAcentral's name for it is "partial 16S ribosomal RNA". It matches the Rfam family "Bacterial small subunit ribosomal RNA", at positions 341 to 792 of the family's 1533-position model. The record is from RNAcentral. Lineage: Bacteria; Bacillati; Bacillota; Clostridia; Lachnospirales; Lachnospiraceae.
ACGGAAGGCAGCAGUGGGGAAUAUUGCACAAUGGGCGAAAGCCUGAUGCAGCGACGCCGCGUGAGUGAAGAAGUAUCUCGGUAUGUAAAGCUCUAUCAGCAGGGAAGAAAAUGACGGUACCUGACUAAGAAGCCCCGGCUAACUACGUGCCAGCAGCCGCGGUAAUACGUAGGGGGCAGGCGUUAUCCGGAUUUACUGGGUGUAAAGGGAGCGUAGACGGUUUGGCAAGUCUGAAGUGAAAUGCGGGGGCUCAACUCCUGAACUGCUUUGGAAACUGUCGAACUAGAGUGCAGGAGAGGUAAGUGGAAUUCCUAGUGUAGCGGUGAAAUGCGUAGAUAUUAGGAGGAACACCAGUGGCGAAGGCGGCUUACUGGACUGUAACUGACGUUGAGGCUCGAAAGCGUGGGGAGCAAACAGGAUUAGAUACCCUGGUA